GUGGUGUCCCGAGCUGCAGACGUGAAUACGCAGUAGCUCCAAAGUUUGUGGAAAUAAGGUCGUCCUGAUUUCAUUUGGUAAGAGUCCGGCGGUGGGAGCCUGCUGCGGGGGAGCAUUGGUGGGCUGUUGUUUUCAGCUUGCAGGUACACGCUCAGCUCAUGCUUCUGUGGGACACCGCGCUCAGACCCGGGAGCAGCAGCUCAUCCGCCGCCGGGGGAAGAGAUCCCGCUGCAGGUCCUCACACCUGAUGCGUGUCAGCUUGUCUGGAGACCAGAAGGAGUCCUGCCUCCCUCCUCCCUCCACCCGGACGGACGGACGGACGGACGCAGCAGCAGCAGAGAGGCGCUGUCUGUGACUGACACACACGCGCAACCUGCCGCCGGCACUUUUUAUUUAAUUCCCUCCAAUAAACGCCCCUCCCACUGAUUCAGCGGUAUCCGUGGGUGCGUUUUAGCCUCCCCACUCCAUCCUCUCCCAUAUGGAUGAAGGGACACUGGACCCCUGCGCUGAUUUGUUUCUUUUGUUUUAAUGAUUUUUUUUUGUGUGUGUGUGUUUGAGGCGGUUUUCCAUCUCAAUUAUUGUUAAUGUAUUUGUUGUGGUCUUUUUUUAUGGCUGUUUUGUGUGUUGGUCAUUUGUCUGUUCGAUUUUUCUUUACUUUGCUAGAUGUUUUUUGUGUGUGUUUGUGAUUAUUUGUUUGGCUUCCCAACAACAAGCGUGUAUACACCGGCUUUAAUCUGUAUCUCUGACCCCUCGGCCCAGUGGGCCGGCAUCCAGCACAGGGCCACUCAGCGAGCCUGCCAUUUCCAUUCCAGCCCACAGACAAACACACUGACAGGUGCAAAUGUGUAGCUACUAUAGGCCCGCACCUAGUUCCCGGUAUUAAAUAUUCUCACCUGCUUGCCAUUUAUUUUCCUCCACCUCCCCACAGCAGACUCCUAACUGAUGUCAAGUUCUUAAACCCAAUGGAAAAUGAAAUCGUCGCUUUUAAUUUGACACUAUAUGCACAAUUUGUUGACUGCAUUUAUUAUUUUGAACAGGUAAUGUAGACUGUAGAUGUACCGAUGCAGAUAGUUUUUUUUUUCCAUAUUAAAUCAGAGAUUCUUCAAAUCGCAUGUUACAAAAUAACAAAACUAACCACUGGAUAGGAAUCAGAAACGCGCGCCAAGUUCUGAACAUACAUCAUCCAGAGAACCGGAGGUUCAAACACACGAGAAAACCCAGUGGCAGGGAGGGUGAGCUGGGUUCAGCAGAUCAUCAUGAGAUGAUCAAGAUGUGGAAUUAGGAAUCCUCGUGUAAUCCCUCCUC
Mugil cephalus (flathead mullet) is the source of this 1305-nucleotide long non-coding RNA. RefSeq lists it as uncharacterized. The record is from RefSeq and is a predicted model, not a curated record. Lineage: Eukaryota; Metazoa; Chordata; Actinopteri; Mugiliformes; Mugilidae. The transcript is spliced from 2 exons.